Long non-coding RNA from Sardina pilchardus (European sardine), 1413 nucleotides. RefSeq lists it as uncharacterized. NCBI's taxonomy places the organism in Eukaryota, Metazoa, Chordata, Actinopteri, Clupeiformes, Clupeidae. The record is from RefSeq and is a predicted model, not a curated record. The transcript has 2 exons.
CCCUCCCUCUCUCUCUGUGUUUAUCCCUCCCCUCCUCCUCCUGCGCUAGCUGCCAGUAGUACCUUGUUGCAGUAAAUUAGCCCUAACUAGGCAGCGCUCGGCCACCACCAGGGACAACACGCAGAACACAGAACGCAGAACGCGCUGGCUGCUCGUCGUAAGAACCACAUCAGAGCAGCCUGAGGAGGAAGAGACGCUGAGAACAGGAAAAGGAUCUGCCACAAAAAAACGAGAAGACUACAAAAAUAACGACUCUAAAAGACCAAGGGAGGAUCUGGACAAAAAGGGCAACUGAACUGUCGGCUGCCUUUUGGUGUCUGAUUUGUGUGUUCACAUCCCACCCAAGGAGGUCAUCGUGUGAGCAUGGCCAGCUGUGGCUGCUGUUUCUGGGGCAUCAUCUGGCUGAUUGUCCUCCUGGUGAUUGGCUGGCCGCUGAGCAUCCUUCUGGGGGGCCUGUAUGGCUUCAUCGCUCCGCUGACGGCGUGCGUGGGGCUGGACCGACUGGCCGACCUGCUGAUGGAGGGGGCCAACCUGGGCCGUACCUGCGCCCAGAACAUGCGACACGGGAAACCACUGUGCUGAGACCCACCUGUAGACUAGUGCACACCUGUGAUGAAGCUAACCUGACCCCACACACACACAAUGCAUUUCCUGUUUGUUAGCCGCAUUGUGUAUAAGCCGCAGGACAGUGUUUUAUCCAACUUAAAAGGAAACAAAACCAUAUUAAUACCAUAUUAACUGCUCCCAUAUAUUAACCCUACAGCUGGAAAAAAAAAGCAAAAACAAUGUAUAAGCCGCGGCUAAUAGUUGGGAAAUUACAGUAGAUACCCAUGCAGAUCUAUCAAGUAUAGAUCGUCAAACUAAUCAUUCUAAGGUUACAUUUACUUAGAUUAGAUUACAUUUGUUUUAACUUUCUCCAGGUACUCUAAACAUAAUGCUUUGUAACAUAUAGUACAGAAAGGAGUAGUCAAUAGACCCAUUGUGACAUUUCAGUAUUUUAUAUGUACAAAUAUUUGUACGAGAAGUGAAGCUUUAAAAGGUCAAAGGUUAACAUCAUUCAUAUCCACCAAAGUGCCUGGGCUGUUCCAAAGUUCCUUUUGUGGCACACUAUACCUGCUUUUGUGGAUAAUACUGUGUAGUUUGUGAAAAAAUGAAUGUUAAAUGUCACAACAGUGUGUACAAUGGUGCUGGUUCUGUUUCAUUUCAAACCGAAAGUCUUGUAUGUAUGAUAUGGACCUAAUAUUGCCCGAAGUGCCUGUAUUUGUUAUAUUGUAUGCUGUUUAGAAUUGAUAUAGAUGUCACUAGUUCUUUUGGUACUGGGACCAAUUCCAGAGAAAAAUUGUAUCUUGAUGAAACUGAUAUAUUGAAUUAUUGAGUCAAUGAAGUAAAGCCAAUUCUGCCUUAAUAUCAAAA